This 253-nucleotide ribosomal RNA is filed under the name uncultured bacterium. Its description in RNAcentral is "partial 16S ribosomal RNA". It matches the Rfam family "Bacterial small subunit ribosomal RNA", at positions 524 to 776 of the family's 1533-position model. The record is from RNAcentral.
UACGAAGGGGGCUAGCGUUGCUCGGAAUCACUGGGCGUAAAGCGCACGUAGGCGGGUCUUUAAGUCAGGGGUGAAAUCCUGGAGCUCAACUCCAGAGCUGCCUUUGAUACUGGCGAUCUCGAGUCCGGGAGAGGUGAGUGGAACUGCGAGUGUAGAGGUGAAAUUCGUAGAUAUUCGCAAGAACACCAGUGGCGAAGGCGGCUCACUGGCCCGGUACUGACGCUGAGGUGCGAAAGCGUGGGGAGCAAACAGG